RNAcentral lists this transfer RNA (17 nucleotides) under Chaenogobius annularis (forktongue goby). RNAcentral describes it as "partial tRNA-Asn". Lineage: Eukaryota; Metazoa; Chordata; Actinopteri; Gobiiformes; Gobiidae. The record is from RNAcentral.
UACUAGACGGGAAGGCC